Molecule: unclassified non-coding RNA, 253 nt
Filed under: uncultured Parcubacteria group bacterium
Lineage: Bacteria
Description: contains 16S-23S intergenic spacer region
Rfam family: Bacterial small subunit ribosomal RNA
Source: RNAcentral
UACGAGUGCCCCAAGCGUUAUCCGGAAUCAUUGGGCGUAAAGGGUGUGUAGGCGGCUGUGUUAGUCUCGCGUCAAAGCCUCCGGCUUAACCGGAGAUCUGCGUGGGAAACGGCACAGCUAGAGGAUGCGAGUGGUAUGUGGAACUCAUGGAGUAGGGGUGAAAUCCGUUGAUAUCAUGGGGAACACCAAAAGCGAAGGCAGCAUACUGGCGCACUCCUGACGCUGAAACACGAAAGCCAGGGUAGCGAACGGG